AAACCCUUUGGCAUUCUCUCAGUGUGCUUCGUGAUGUAGUCGCCUGAAAUGGUUUUCACUUCACAGGUGUGCCUUGUCAGGGUUCAGUUGUGGAAUUUCUUGCCUUCCUAAUGGGAUUGGUACCAUUAGUUGUGUUGUGCAGAAGUCAGGUUGGUACACAGCUGAUAACUGUUAAAAUUCAAAUGGCAAGAACCAGAGUCCAUUAUUACUUUAAAAACUGAAGGUCAGUCAGUCUGGAAAAUUGCAAAAACUUUGAACUGCGCGAAUCAGCUUGUAUGGUCAAAUAGCUACUAAGAAACCACUACUAAGGACAAGUAAAAAGCAGGAGAGAUGUUUUUCUACUAAGAAACACAAUGAAUGGACAUUAGAUCAGUGGAAAUCUUUGGUUUGAUAAGACAAAUUUGAGGUCUUUGGUCCCACCUGCCGUGUCUUUGUGCAAUGCAGGAAAGAUGAACAAAUGGUCUCUACAUGCGUAGUUCACACUGUGAAGCAUGGAGGAGGAGGUGUUAUGGUGUGUUGGUGCUUGGCUGGUGACACUGUUGGGGAUUUAUUCAAAAUUGAAGACGCACUGAACAAGCAUGGCUACCACAGCAUCUUGCAGCAACAUGCCAUCCAGUUUGCAUUUUGUUGGACCAUCAUUUAUUUUUCAACAGGACAAUGACUCCAAACACACCUCAAGGCUGCGUAAGAGCUAUUUGACCAAGAAGGAAAGUGAUGGAGUGCUACGCCAGAUAGCCUGGCCUCCACAAUCACCUGACCUAAACCCAGUCGAGAUGGUUUGGGAUGAGAUGGAAAACAAGGUGAAGCCAAAGGACCAACAAGUACUCGGCAUCUCUGGGAACUCCUCUCUGGGAAGACUGUUGGAAAACCAUUUCACGUGACUACCUCAUUAAGUUCAUUGAGAGAAUGCCACGAGUGUGCAAAACAGUAAUCAAAGCAAAGGGUGGCAAUUUCGAAGAAUCUAAAAUAUAAAACAUGUUUUGAAUUAUUUCACACUUUUUUGUUUACUACAUAAUUCAAUGUGUUCACUCGUAUGCCUUCAGUGAGAAUAUACAAUGUAAAUAGUUGUGAAAAUGAAGAAAAACCAUUAAAUGAUAUGUGUGAUGAUGUUUCUGAACACUCAGUGUCACAGGAGCCCGGAGGCUAAUGUGAGAACUACGACCCAAAAGCCGAUUCAAGCACAGGGGAAAGUCAUGAGAUUUUAACAAGGAGCAUGAAACAAGGAGAACUGUUAUCAACGUGAGGUUAGCUGAUGAAAUGACAAAGGAGAGAAGAUGAUGCUUACCUAAAAUAUGUCUUCUGAUUGUUUCGGGAUCAAGAAUAGGUGAACUGAGCAGGUGGCAUGAUGAGGGCUCUGCCCCAGGGCGGAUAUGAGAGGAACACAGGGUGGGCAUAGAAAAAACACCGGACUUCACCCGGACCAUGCCACUCAGGUUGGUACUUAUAUAGCACCUUUUUAGUCAGUUGAGCAUUCAAAACACUUUCAUGCUGCAAGAUUCAAUCACCCAGUCACACAUACAUGCAUUCAGAGACUUUUUCUAUUACUGAGUGCUUAUCAAGUAAUUUCACAAAAUAAUUUCUUAGUGUUAAAGUCAUGAAUAAUCAAAUUUUAAUGAUUUCUUUCAGUACAGAGGACCUUAUAUCUCCAUGGUUACACACACAGAAAUGAAGAUUUUUCAAAACAGACAGAUAUAUGACUAUAUAAUGUUUCCUCUUGCAGGACUGUUGAAUGCUGGUGGUGUGACAUUAUCUUAAUUUGAGUGGCUAAAGACUCUAAAUCUCAAUAACUGUGAAAAACUGAUGUUCUGAAAGAAAGUGUGCUGCAGUCCUGCUAGAAUCAAAACACCAUAAAUGUAAUUUUAUGUUUGCAAUUGUUGUGUCCUGUAAUGAUUAUACCAUAUUGCACCACUAUAGGGUGGUGCAAUAUGAGAGUAAUAAGAGAGUAAUAAGAAAAUAAGACAGUAAAGUGCAGUCGGGAAAAUGUAAAGUUAGAAUAUGUUUAAGAUGGUUAACUGAUAGCUUGAUGUGUCACCCUGUUACCUCUACGAUGUGAAGUUACGUGCUGCAUUCAUUAAAGAGCACUGUUCCUUGAUGAGGACUGAUUUAUUACCAGCUGCUGCUACAGUAAUCAUAAUAUAUUUUCUUUUCCUGACACCAGUCUAAAACAUAUGUAUGUAAUGAAUAACAGAAAGAAGUAUUGCAAAUCAGAAUAAAUAUCCAGUAAUUUUUAAACACAAGAAAAAACCUUUUAUAAUCACUUAUUAAGAGUUCAAAUACCCAUAAUGAUUUCUCCCCAUCUAAUGUACUUCAAUAACAGAAAACUGAGGCUCUGUCUUUCCCUGCUUAUUUGAUUUUACUUAGACUGUUUCUGUUUGUCCUGAUCUUCUGUUUCAGAAUCAGGUUCUUUAACUUUCAAUUGCGCCAAUGUUUUCCACACCUGUUCUUAUCUUCUCCUAUUUGCACUUUGUUUAAUUGUGUCAAACCUGUUCUCAAAUGCAUAAAGGAUUUCUUCUCUACCUUGAAUCACAAUCUUUCCACUGUCAAAUAUAGACACAGUACCUCCAUCAGAGAGCUCAAGUUUGAGUUUGUUGUCCAUUCGAAUAGCCCUGGAUGUAGGGUAAGCUUCUUCUAUUGCAGCCCUGUAGUCUUCUCCAGAGUGGGUGAAGAAAAUGAGGUUGCAUCUUAUACCAGUUUGAUAUGUGUCUUCAUAGAGAAUCUCUGGGUUUUUUCCAUCAGAGUUUCGCGUUUGAAUAUUUUCUUUUCCUCAUCGUUCAUUCCUUUAGGUUAGUCAAAACGACGAGCAGACAUCUAAAAAACAUAAAACAAUUAUUAUUUUUAUGCUUACAAACUAUAUAAUAAAUUCAGCACUUAUAGAUGUGAUGUGGUGAUAAAAAUUUACCUUCAAUGUUUCUGGUUUUGUUGUAAAUUGAGUUCUACUCAACUUCCAGAUGAAAAGGUGUAUUUUCCUCACACAGCUCUGAGUUCCUGUAAGUCUCAAAUUGAUUGAUUGUGUUCUUAAGCUGAGGAUGAAGUAAUCAAAAGCUUUUAUAAUAAUUAAAGACAAUUGUUUCCGCUGUGGCAGCUCAGACGUAAGUCUUCUGUACUCUGGGUGCACAAUGUCCGUCUUCUUUUCAGAUCUUUUAAAUAUCUCAAAAAGUGACAGAAAAAGGCAGGAAUGUGUUACCCACACAGGGGUCAAUCAGUUUCUUGUGUAGUUUUUCCAGAGACUCUGGAGUGUCUCCAGUUUUUGGGCUGUUUUUGUUAGGACAGAUUGACACACACAAACACAACACACACACAGACACACUUUCCGUCCUAUUGGAACAUUCAGUGCUUUCCUGUAUUACACAAUAUCUCUAAACAGCACUCUACUGCACUUCCUUUUUCUAUCAGCUCAUAUUUAAGUACUUUCUUAUUCAUAACAUUGAUUAAGUUUAUAUCACACUGUAAUUAUAUAUGAUUCAAAUUAUGCAUGAAUGAAAAAGUCUGGAGACAAGUUUUUGUUUCACCCUUUAAUCCUCAAACAACAAUAAGUUAAGACAAUUGUCUCCGCUGCUCUUCUAAGGCGUGGCAGCUCAGAUGUAAAUCCUUCCAAAUGUCUUCUGUACACCCAGAGUACAAUGUCCGCCUUUUUUUCAGAUCUUUUACAUAUUUGAAAAAGUGACAGAAAAAGGCAGGAAUGUGUUACCCACACAGGGGUACACGGUGAAGUCAUUGCUCUCAUCCAAUAAAACGUCCAGCUCAAAAAAACACUAUUAUGAUUUAGUUUGCUUUUUGUAUUAAAUUUGAUGAUGAGAUUUACUUUAUUUGUUGGCCUUAUGUGGUUGUUGCUGCCAAGUUUGAGUUUGUUGGCCAUUUGUGUAGGUUUCGAUUUGGGCUGUCUCGAAAACAAAAACGUCAGGAUUUUCAUUCAUAGCUUCAGUUUGAGUCAUUUCCUUUCCACAUCUGUUGUUGCUUUUGGGUAGUCAAAACAAUGAGCAGGCAUCUAAAAGUAAAGCAUAAAACAAAAUGAUUAUUUAUGUGAAAUUUUAUGCAACUGAUACAUGAUUUUAUGUGUGUGUGUGUGUGUGUGUGUGUGUGUGUGUGUGUGUGUGUGUGUAUGAUGUGGGGAAGUACCUGUUUUUUUUUUUUCUUGCACAGGCAAAUUCAGGCUCUAGAUUCCUGCUCAUUAUUCUUUGACGUCACCACCCGAUAGACUUCAUUACAACCUCUGGGGCCAUCACAGGGCAGUUGUGGAGCUGUUUUGCAAAGAAGAAUGGGCAAGGAUUUCAGUCUCUAGAUGUGCAAAGCUCGUAGAGACAUACCCUAAAAGACUGGCAGCUGUAAUUGCAGCAAAAGGUGGUUCUACAAAGUAUUGACUCAGGGGGCUGAAUAAUUACGCACACCCCACUUUGCAGUUAUUUAUUUGUAAAAAAUGUUUGGAAUCAUGCAUGAUUUUUGUUCCACUUCUCACGUGUUCACCACUUUGUAUUGUUCUUUCACGUGGAAUUCCAAUAAAAUUGAUUCAUGUUUGUGGCUGUAAUGUGACAAAAUGUGGAAAAGUUCAAGGGGGCCGAAUACUUUUGCAAGCCACUGUAUAUAGGCCUAUAGAUUCAUGUUUGAGCAGUGUCAUUUGGCUCAACCAGUUAGUAGCUAGAAGAACUGGUAAGAGCCAUUAAUAGAUGUAAUACUUAUUUAAAAGUUUUAAACAAAGGGAAUGUCCACAGGUUAGACUUUUGUAUGCAUAAUAUUUUAUUUAUAUAACUUAGCAAAGGCAAAGCAAAAUCAAUAAAAUAUAAAAUAAUAUCUCAUGUUUUAUCUUAACCUAACUGAUCUGCAGGACAUGUACCUGAAUGCUGAUGUUGUGACAUCUUAAUUUGAGUGGCUGAAGAUUAAAUCUCAUUCAUCUCUGUGGAAAACUGACCUUCAGAUAUGAGACGGACCUCAGUGGGUACAAAACUAUAAUUCUUCAAACCUACAGACUGAAAGACAUUCAUAUUUGUAAUAUAUAAUAUAACAUACUUACUUUUUCAUGACAUCAUUGUAAAACAAUAAUAUAUCUAAUGAACAGCAGAAUUUAGAAGAGAAUAAAGAUUAUAAAAGUAUUGAAAAUCAGGCUAAAAUAUCUAGUAAUUUUUAAACACACAGAACAAAAACUUUAAUAUUCACUUAUUAACAGUUCAAAUGCCCAUAUUGUUUUGCUGUUUCCUGCUUUUUCUUAUUUGUAUCACAUUUUAUUUAGACUGUUUCUGUUUGUCUCGUCCUUCUGUUUCAGAAUCAGAUUCUUCAACUUUCAUUUGCUGUAAUGUUUUCAUCAUCUGUUCUUCUUUUCUUGCGUCUACAUCUUGUUGAAUUUUGUUAAACAUUUUCUCAAAUGCAUCAAGGUUUUCUUCUGUACCUUGAAUUAAAAUCUUUCCACUGGGAAAUAUGGACACAGUGCCUCCAUCAGAGAGCUCAAGUUUGAGUUUGUUGGCCAUUUGAAUAUCCUUGGAUUGAGGGUACGCAUCUUCUAUUGCAGCCCUGUAGUCUGCUCCAGAUCGGGUGAAGAAAAUGAGGUUGCAUCUUAUACCAGUUUGAUAUGUGUCUUCAUAGAGAAUCUCUGGGUUUUUCAUCAGAGUUUUAUGUUUGAAUAUUUUCUUUUUUUCCUCAUCCUCCAUUCCUUUAGGGUAGUCAAAACGACGUGCAGGCAUCUAUAAAACAUAAAAGAAUUAUUUUUUUUACUCAAUUUAAUGUUCCACUGAUAAAUUAUAUAUCAAAUUCAGCACUUGUAGAUGUGAUGUGGUGAUAUACAUUUACCUUCAGUGUUUCUUGUUUGUUGUAAAUGGAGUUUUAGUCAACUUCCAGGUGAAAAGGUGUAUUUUCCUUACACAGCUCUUGCACUACUUGGUUCAGACUCCGAGUUCCUGUAAGUCUAAAAUGGAUUGAUUGUGUUCUUAAGCUGAGGAUGAAAAAGUAUUUAUGAAGUAAUCAAAAGCCUUUUUAAUAAAUGUUUUAAACUAUUAAAAGCUUCUUAAAUAUAUCGACUCUCAUGGACAAGUUUUCAUUUUACCCUUUAAUCCUUGAACAGCAAUAAGUAAAUUGUCUCCGCUGCUCUCCUAAGGCGUGGCAGCUCAGAUAUAAAUCCUUCCAAACAUCUUCUGUUCUCUGGGUGUACAACGUCCGUCUUCUUUUCAGAUUUUCAGAUCUCAAAAAGUGAUAGAAAAAGGCAGGAAUGUGGUGCCCACACAGGGGUACACGGUGAUGAUGGUAAAUCAGCGUCUUGUGUAGUUUUUCCGGAGACUCUGGAGUGUCUCCAGAUUUUCAGGCUGUUUUUUGUUAGUACAGUUUGACACACACAAACACAACACACACACAGACACUCACACUUUCCGUCUUAUUGGAACAUUCAG
Molecule: long non-coding RNA, 6368 nt
Organism: Oreochromis aureus
Lineage: Eukaryota; Metazoa; Chordata; Actinopteri; Cichliformes; Cichlidae
Source: Ensembl